AGUGAACGCUGGCGGUAGGCCUAAUACAUGCAAGUCGAACGGACGCAUAGUAAGCUUUCGCCUCUACCGGUGGCGGCUGGCGGAUGGGUGAGGCAUAGAUCGCCUUCCUCUUUUUCGUGGGUGACUUCGUAGGGCCACUUCUGAUACUACCGCAUAUGUUCUACGGCUUGGAUCAGUGGUUAUUCGGACUUUUCCUGUCUCUUUGAGACGAUGCCGGAUUGGCUAGUUGGCGGGGUAAAGGCCCAGCAUGGCGACGCUCCGUAGCUGGUCUGAGCGGAGGAUCAGCCACACUGGAACUGGGACACGGUCCAGACUCCUACGGGAGGCAACAGUGGGGAAUAUUGGAGAAAGGGCGCAAGCCUGAACCAGCCAUACCGCGUUGGUGAAGGAGGGCUUCGGGUUGGAAAGCCCUUUUGUUGGGAAAGAAAAGCAGCAGGUAAAAACCCCGCUGGUCUGACGGUACCCAAAGAAUAAGCACCGGCUAACUUCGUG
This 492-nucleotide ribosomal RNA is filed under the name uncultured bacterium. RNAcentral describes it as "partial 16S ribosomal RNA". It matches the Rfam family "Bacterial small subunit ribosomal RNA", at positions 29 to 507 of the family's 1533-position model. The record is from RNAcentral.